This is a long non-coding RNA of Misgurnus anguillicaudatus (oriental weatherfish), 648 nucleotides long. RefSeq lists it as uncharacterized. The record is from RefSeq and is a predicted model, not a curated record. Lineage: Eukaryota; Metazoa; Chordata; Actinopteri; Cypriniformes; Cobitidae.
GGUGUAUGUGUUUAAACUUUGGAGGACGCAGCCUGAAAAUGCAUGACGUUUUCUCCCCCCAUUAAGUCUUGUGCAUCCCACUUGAGGGUUAUAAGCUCUUACGGUGUCUACAUGAGUGUCACGAAUAAACGCUAAUGAAAAACAUCAGUUAAUGAGUAUUGACCAUCAAUCGAGUGGGGUAGCUACAGUAAGAGCUUGGCCAUUCAUCGUUCGAGUCUGCUGCAUACCAAUUGGUGUCCAUGCUGACGGGUCUCUGAGCAGUGAGUGUUCACGGGCAGCAGGUCGAUUUCUGAUGGUUAAAGGAAAAAUAUGCUUCGUUUGUGGAUAACUACGGUUGAAAUUAAGGACUAAACGAUACACUACGGACUUCGAAAGACUGUGUUCUUCCUCAGGUGACAUUUUUCGACGCACCUUUCCAGCUGUAAAGGAAUAUUAAGGUGAAAUAGUUAACCAAACGAAAGACAUUUACGUUUAAACAAGGUUUUUAAAUGUUUAAGGUUUUUGAAAGACCAAAUUAUUUGUUGUGGUUGAAAGUGAUAUUUAUACAAGUUUUAAAGGAAAUAUUUGUAUUUAAAAGGGGUUAUUUAAAACCAAACAUUUGAUAUUAAUGUCCAAGGCUACAUGAUUACAGCCUGGGAAUUUAAUUGA